Arachis stenosperma is the source of this 3834-nucleotide RNA transcript. It is a transcript of the gene named pentatricopeptide repeat-containing protein At1g03560, mitochondrial, with no coding region annotated. The transcript is spliced from 5 exons. NCBI's taxonomy places the organism in Eukaryota, Viridiplantae, Streptophyta, Magnoliopsida, Fabales, Fabaceae. The record is from RefSeq and is a predicted model, not a curated record.
UCCGCCCUCACUCACCCCCUUCCCCCAACACCCCCUGUUCGUGAAUCACUAUCUCUGAACUCAAGCAAAGUUCAAAAUCAACCAACCAAAACCCUACGUUCUCCCUGCAACGGUUCUGAGACAGUGUCGCCGCCGUCCGUGCUGUCGGCGCCUCCGCUCCUCUCUUGUAGCCCAGGCCCUCUCUUGUAUCUCGGCGUCCUCCUUCCCGCUGUCCCCGUCCUCCCUGGCUUCUCUGUUCGAGGUUGGAGUAGCUCGCCGCCGUGUCGCCGCUCGCCGUUCGUGUCUCCACCGAAGUUGUCAAUGUUCUUUAUCAGAACUGAGAAGGAAAAUGGCAAUCAAAAGGAUUUCCACAGCGUCAGCGCGUGCUCACACUCGCAGGAACAAGAAAACUAACUCUUUUUCUGCCCUCUGUUAAAUCGGUUGAAUCAGUAAAUCAGUAAACCAAUGACUGGAGCGGUUCAAUGACUGGUUCGGUUCUCAGAACCUUGCGGUCCAAACAAAAUAGAAUUCCCUAAACAAGAGAUAGACUACAGUACAGACGCCAGAUGCCGUUGAGAGUUGAGAAACACCAACUCUAACUAGCCAACCCUGCGUUUCUUCUUUGAAUUCCCAGAUGAGAAGCAGCAGCAGAAUACUUGUAAAGCUCCUCAAACGACAUUCACACACUGCCACGUCAUCAUCACGAUUCUCCACUCCCCCUCCCCACGAAGUCGUCGAACCCUUCUACGACCUCUCAGACGUCGUCGUUUCAGCCUCCCGUGACCCUCCUUCCCCAUCCCCAUGGCUCCCCCAAAUCCUCUCCCUCCUCGACGGUUCCCCUUCCAUGGAAUCCAACCUCACCUCCUUCUGCAACAAAUUCCUCAUCAUUCUCUCCCCCAACUUCGUCUCCCACACCCUCCGCUCCCUCACCAACCAACCCCUCCUCGCCACGCGCUUCUUCCACUGGGCUCACUCUCAACCUAGCUAUUCCCACUCCCUUCAUUCCUACGUCUCUCUCAUCGAAACCCUCUCCUUUUCUUCAUCCUUCGAUUCCACUGUGUUCCAGAACAUUCUACAAGAAUUCAAGUGCCGGAAGUUUAAAUUAACUGCCGCCGCCGUUAACUCCUUGCUCAGGAGCUUUGCCGCGGUUGGCAUGGUGGAGGAGCUGUUGUGGAUGUGGCGGAACAUGAAGGAGGAUGGCCUUGAGCCGAGUUUGUAUAAUUUCAAUUCGUUGAUGAACGGAUUGGUUAAUGCCGGUAUGGUGGAAUCGGCGGUUAGGGUUUUCGAGGCGAUGAGGGAGGUUAAUGUGAGGCCGGAUUCGGUUAGUUACAAUACGGUUAUUAAAGGGUAUUGUAAGGUUGGGAAAACUAGGAAGGCCUUGGAGAUGAUUAGGGAGAUGGAGGCUGGGGAUGAUGGUGGUAAUGUGGGGCCGGAUAAGGUUAGUUACAUGACAGUUAUGCAGGCGUGUUAUGGCGAAGGGGAUGUGGAUUGUUGUGUGCGGCUUUAUCAUGAGAUGAAGGAGAAGGGGUUGGUGGUUCCUCCGCAUGCUUAUAGUUUGGUGGUGUGUGGACUUUGCAGGCAAGGGAAGGUUGUUGAGGGUCUCAAUGUGUUUGAAGAGAUGAGAAGGGAUAGUUGCGGAGCCAAUAAGGCGGUGUACACGGCGUUGAUUGAUGGUUAUGCGAAGACUGGGAAUGUUGACGGGGCGAUGAGGUUGUUUGAGAGGAUGAGACAGGAGGGGAUUAAACCGGAUGAAGUUACUUAUGGGGCGAUUGUUAAUGGUUUGUGUAAGGGUGGGAGAGUGGAGGAAGCUUUGGGUUAUUUAGAGUUUUGUAAAGAGAAUGGUGUUAUGGUGAAUGCGGUAUUUUACUCGAGUUUGAUUGAUGGCCUUGGGAAGGCUGGGAGAGUUGAUGAAGCCGAGAAGUUGUUUUAUGAGAUGGUUGAUAAGGGGUGCCCCCCGGAUUCUUAUUGCUAUAAUGCACUUAUCGAUGGAUGGUGUAAAGAUGGGAGGAUUGAUGAAGCAUUGGCACUGUUUCAACGGAUGGAGGAGGAAGGUUGCGAGCAGACUGUGUAUACGUAUACCAUACUUAUCAGUGAGCUUUUUAAAGUGCACAGGAAUGAAGAGGCAUUGAAAUUAUGGGACAUGAUGAUAGAUAAGGGCAUAACACCAAAUGUUGCUUGCUUUAGGGCUCUUUCAAUUGGACUCUGUCUUUCGGGCAAGGUAGCGAGAGCUUGUAAGAUCUUGGAUGAGCUGGCACCCAUGGGGAUUGUUCUUGAAACAGCUUAUGAAGACAUGAUUAACGUGUUGUGCAAAGCCGGACGGGUGAAGGAAGCCUGCAAGUUAGCUGAUGGGAUUGUGGACAGAGGUAGAGAAAUUCCUGGAAAAGUUAGAACAUUGAUGAUUAAUGCGUUGAGGAAGGCUGGUAAUGCAGAUUUGGCUAUAAGGCUGAUGCAUAGCAAGAUUGGUAUUGGGUAUGACCGGAUGCGUAGUGUUAAAAAGAGAGUGAAGUUCCAAACCCUUAUUGGCAGCUGACUCUGUUUUUCGCCAGUCUUAUGUCCAUGCCAUCCAGUUGGAUGAUAAGAUGGUCUUUGAUUUGGUUGAAAGUGGAAGUAUCUCAUAAACCAACCUUCAUUUAGGAAGGUACUCUUCGUUAAUAAUGAAUUCUAUUUUCUUGCAAAUCCUUUCAUGAAUUUUUGGAGGCUGUUUGACCACAUCCAAUUGUUUAUAUUCUAUAACUAUCUGUGAUAUUGUCUUCGGGUUUUUCUAUAUGUAAGGGAGUUGAACAAUUUCGACAAGCUUUGGAUAUUUCAUCACAAUGUGUGCUUGCACAAUAUGAACUUGCUUUUGGGGCUCCUUUGUUUAGCAAAAGAUUGCAUGAAGUUGGGACCAUUUAUGUGGGGGGCUUCUUUGUUAGAGGUUUUAUAGAAAUUGUUUGGAUGCUGUGGCAUUCGUUUUUAAGUUCAAAUAAAAUCUUCCAUUUAAGCAACUUUCAGUAACCCUUGAAUUGACUGCAGGAAGCAUCUGAGGUUGCAAGAGCAAGUGCUUAUUCUGUUAGGAAUGUCUCAUGUAUUGGGAAAUUAUAUGUUGAUGUUCAGGUAUCAUUUGUUUUGUUAGUAUUAAAAGGAUUUCUUUGUUUUCAACAUUUUAUAUUUUCAGGCAUAUGUUGGUGUCAUGGCAUGGACGUGGAUCUUCUUCUCUGAGGCCAAUUCUCCUUGAAGAUUGAGUGUGCCUUAAAUGCUCCAUUAAAGAGUUGUGUAAGACAUGAUUCAGGAACUAGAUAAGAACAUUCAGAAAAUAUACUGCAGCAUUGCUAUCGGUUGCAUUGCUGAGGCUUGCUUGGAUUGACCGACUACCCUUGCCAGAUAUAUGAAAAGUAGUCUGAAAGAAGUUUACAUGUCAAAGAUAGGUAGUUAAUGCAGUUAUGUGUAUUUCAGUUUAUAUGUUUAUGCCUAGCUAUGAAGAUGGAAACUAAUAAGCUAAAGCCUUAUCUCGGCUGUCAAACCCGUGAGUUGUAAUUAUUGAACCAAAUAAUUUUGACAGUUGCAAUUUGGUUUUGAAAAUUGCACCAGACAAUAAUACUACUACUUUUCAUAAGUCAAAAGUUAAAAAAAGUUACUUCUAAAGUUUCCCAAACGGGCCCUAAGAGUUAUAAUACCAGGAAGUUCAUUACCACGGAGGUAUGACCUUCGUUAUAAAGUAGCCCGCGCGUAUGCGCGAGUCAUACACUAGUUGCAUAAAAUUGACACACAAGUUUAUAUAAAAAAGCAAUAAUACAUGAAUUAGGUGUUCUUUGAUCCAAACACAUAAAAAUGCAUAAUUAAAAGAACAAAUAAGUAGUUGAUAUAGAUUAGACAGCU